This 440-nucleotide ribosomal RNA is filed under the name uncultured bacterium. RNAcentral's name for it is "partial 16S ribosomal RNA". It matches the Rfam family "Bacterial small subunit ribosomal RNA", at positions 338 to 795 of the family's 1533-position model. The record is from RNAcentral.
CCUACGGGGUGCAGCAGUAGGGAAUAUUGCUCAAUGGGGGAAACCCUGAAGCAGCAACGCCGCGUGGAGGAUGAAGGUUUUCGGAUUGUAAACUCCUUUUGUUAGAGAAGAUAAUGACGGUAUCUAACGAAUAAGCACCGGGUAACUCCGUGCCAGCAGCCGGGGUAAUACGGAGGGUGCAAGCGUUACUCGGAAUCACUGGGCGUAAAGGGCGCGUAGGCGGGAUAGCAAGUCAGAUGUGAAAUCCUAUGGCUUAACCAUAGAACUGCAUUUGAAACUGUUAUUCUAGAGUAUGGGAGAGGUAGGUGGAAUUAUUGGUGUAGGGGUAAAAUCCGUAGAGAUCAAGAAGAAUACUCAUUGCGAAGGCGACCUGCUAGAACAUAACUGACGCUGAUGCGCGAAAGCGUGGGGAGCAAACAGGAUUAGAUACCCGGGUAGUC